CCUACGGGAGGCUGCAGUGGGGAAUAUUGGGCAAUGGGCGCAAGCCUGACCCAGCAACGCCGCGUGAAGGAAGAAGGCUUUCGGGUUGUAAACUUCUUUUCUCAGGGACGAAGCAAGUGACGGUACCUGAGGAAUAAGCCACGGCUAACUACGUGCCAGCAGCCGCGGUAAUACGUAGGUGGCAAGCGUGAUCCGGAUUUACUGGGUGUAAGGGGCGUGUAGGCGGGACUGCAAGUCAGAUGUGAAAACCAUGGGCUCAACCUGUGGCCUGCAUUUGAAACUGUAGUUCUUGAGUACUGGAGCGGCAGACGGAACUCCUAUUGUCGCCGUCAAAUGCGUAUAUCUUAGGAGGAUCACCAGUG
Molecule: ribosomal RNA, 362 nt
Filed under: uncultured bacterium
Lineage: Bacteria
Description: partial 16S ribosomal RNA
Rfam family: Bacterial small subunit ribosomal RNA
Source: RNAcentral